This is a long non-coding RNA of Oenanthe melanoleuca, 690 nucleotides long. RefSeq lists it as uncharacterized. The record is from RefSeq and is a predicted model, not a curated record. The transcript has 2 exons. NCBI's taxonomy places the organism in Eukaryota, Metazoa, Chordata, Aves, Passeriformes, Muscicapidae.
GCGCCGUUCAGAACGCCCGUGGCUUCCCCGCCUCCCGCAUCAUUGCGCAAUGCUCGACCACGCGGCUCGGCGCCAUUUUCAAAGCCAUAUGGCGGCGGCACAGUCUUUUCCACCGCCUGUAUCUCCGACAUAAUGGCUGCAUUUCGCGCCUCGUCCGCUAAUCCUUGCCACAACUCCCGCGCGCUCCUUCUCCCCUCUCCUGGUGAAGGUGCACCACGGGCACGCUGGAGCCCGGCGGGCGCCGGCAGGCAGCUGCAGGGAUGCCUCUCUCUGCCGGGCUCCUCCUCAUGAAGGACCCUUCCUGAGGCAUCACGUCUCAUCCUGUCUCCUUUCUGCGCUCCUUCCCCGCUCCCCUCCGGCCCGGGGAAAUGGAGGAAGACACAAAUACAACGAGGAAGAAAGAACAGUCUGCAGAGCUGCCCGAGCCAUCGCCCUGCCCGCAGUGGGGAUCAGCCAGCAGGAGGAGGCAGCUGCUUUUUCAGUCAGAAAGGUGAGAGGUGCAGGAAGGGGUUUCUUCCUUUGUCCUCUCUGCUGGCACUCCCUCUUUCUGCCUCUUGUGGCCUGUGUCUGCGGGGCUGGGGAACUUCAGCCCUUCUGGGGGCUGCCCCCCCUUCCUUGCAUGAGCAGAAUCCCUUUUUGGGGGAAUGGACCGUGGGAAGAGUUCGAAUAAAGUGCCGUGCUCCUGCCUGA